UAAUAAGAAACAAUAUUUGUAUUUAGUUUCGACCUAAAAUUUUGGUGUUUAUUCACCCUUAUUUU
This 65-nucleotide transfer RNA is filed under the name Ochthebius lividipennis. RNAcentral describes it as "tRNA-Arg". The record is from RNAcentral. Lineage: Eukaryota; Metazoa; Arthropoda; Insecta; Coleoptera; Hydraenidae.